ACGAACGCUGGCGGCGUGCUUAACACAUGCAAGUCGAACGGAAAGGCCCAGCUUGCUGGGUACUCGAGUGGCGAACGGGUGAGUAACACGUGGGUGAUCUGCCCCUGACUUUGGGAUAAGCCUGGGAAACUGGGUCUAAUACCGGAUAUGACCUUACAUCGCAUGGUGUUUGGUGGAAAGCUUUUGCGGUUGGGGAUGGGCCCGCGGCCUAUCAGCUUGUUGGUGGGGUAAUGGCCUACCAAGGCGACGACGGGUAGCCGACCUGAGAGGGUGAUCGGCCACACUGGGACUGAGACACGGCCCAGACUCCUACGGGAGGCAGCAGUGGGGAAUAUUGCACAAUGGGCGCAAGCCUGAUGCAGCGACGCCGCGUGAGGGAUGACGGCCUUCGGGUUGUAAACCUCUUUCACCAGGGACGAAGCGUGAGUGACGGUACCUGGAGAAGAAGCACCGGCCAACUACGUG
This 465-nucleotide ribosomal RNA is filed under the name uncultured bacterium. RNAcentral's name for it is "partial 16S ribosomal RNA". It matches the Rfam family "Bacterial small subunit ribosomal RNA", at positions 29 to 507 of the family's 1533-position model. The record is from RNAcentral.